Molecule: long non-coding RNA, 189 nt
Organism: Pipistrellus kuhlii (Kuhl's pipistrelle)
Lineage: Eukaryota; Metazoa; Chordata; Mammalia; Chiroptera; Vespertilionidae
Exons: 3
Source: RefSeq, a predicted model, not a curated record
AUUAGGUUGAUGCUGGUUUCAUAGAAUGAGCUUGGAAGUGUUCCUUCUUCUUGAAUUUUUUGGAAUAGUCUGAGGAGUAUAAGUUUUAGUUCUUUCUUGAAUGUUUGGUAAAACUCCCCUGCGAAGCCGUCUGGCCCCAAACUUUUGUUUGCUGGAAGCUUUUUGAUGACUGCUUCAGUUUCUUCCAUA